CCCAGUUUGUCUACAUGAAUCUACAUGACUUGUUAUCCAUAUCUUGUAUAGAUCGGUCCUCGUAGGUGAGUGUGCUCAAUAUAUGGCGAUACGACCUCUCGUUAAAUAUCUCGCUUAGACGGUGAAAAAAUUAAGAUGAAAAGAAACAGAAAAUAAAUGUUCGUUUGAACCCUUGUAGAUACCAGCAUAAACCAAUCGGUAUCGCUCGGAGGCGAGGUGGUGUUCCGAUUGCACCAUAAUCGUUAUCCAAUAAGAGUCGGCGUUCCAUAUCAUACAAAUAUAUAAAGGAAGCACGUUAUAGUAUUGUCAUUCCUGUGAGGACGCUGUCGUAUCGAUCAGAGGAACAAGUCAAAGAAGAAAAUGUCAAAGGUAUUUAAAGACCCAGUGCACGGAGAGAUCGAACUAGAUCCUUUAUGCGUGAAAAUUGUCGAUACGCCUGAAUUCCAAAGAUUGCGGUUCAUCAGACAGUUGGGAGCGUGCUUCUUUCUAUAUUAUGGUGCUUCUCACAGUCGCUUCGAUCACUCCAUUGGAGUGUACCACCUCGCGGGGAAAUUGGUUGAAGCAAUCGCAAGUUGACAAGAAGACGAUCAAAAAGUUUGUGAGAAGAAGAGGCUAUGUGUGAAAAUCGCAGGGCUUUGCCAUGAUUUGGGCCAUGGACCAUUUUCUCACAUGUUUGAAAAAGUUGUCAAAAAACUGUCGGGAAAGGAAUGGAAGCACGAGGAAGCCUCAAAAAUCCUGAUUGAUAGAAUAUAUGGAAAAUUGAGGAAUGAAUUUAAGG
Molecule: long non-coding RNA, 778 nt
Organism: Pecten maximus
Lineage: Eukaryota; Metazoa; Mollusca; Bivalvia; Pectinida; Pectinidae
Exons: 6
Source: RefSeq, a predicted model, not a curated record